CGUUCCUCGUAGUCUCUAGCCCCGGGAAACAGAAUUACAGUCACGAUUCGACUGUGUGGAACUGUAGAGAGGCUGCUGACCGCGCGUCCGAUUUCUAUUGCGUGAGCGAACGAGCGCGUGCGUGCGUACGUGCGUGCGUGCAUGCAUACGUCGUCGGGUACACGCAACGAGUGGCAAUGACAUAUAAAUAGAACGUCGCGCUUCGCCGAGUCUCCCCGCGCAUGAUUAAUUAUUACUUUCCUCGACGUUUACCGGGCUUUGUAAUACACAUACGAUAUAAACUUUAAUAUAAAGUAAACAAGGCAAACGUAACCGUUCGAGUAUCAAACUCUCGCUUUAAAUGCGAACGAAAGUCGGAGAUUCAAGUUUAUCUCUGUCUCUCUCUCUCUCUCUCUUGCUCGGUUCCGAAAAAUGCCACAGAAGUGACGGAUGUUCUCGGACGGCCGCUUCCGGGUGACGGAGUUUAUUGGUUCAAGCUCGAUCAACUACCUCUUCUAUCGAAGGUACGACGCGAAGCGAGGCGAGACCGACAGGCGACGUGUCGUCUGGAAGAGUGCGAGACAGGAGGAUUGAUCGAUCGUGUCCCCGGGUCGAUUCUUUCAGCCGGGUAUACAUAUAGCGAUAUAGACGUACAAGAGUAUUUCACGUCGGCUGGGACACAAUCGAGGCGAGUCGUCUGUCUAUUUCGAUAGUGUCCGGUCGCGACGGAAUUUUCGCGUCGCGGCGAUUCCGCAGCACCGUCGUAAAUUCGUUUUCAUUUACCCGGAAAAAUAUACCGCGUAGAAUUAUUCUUUCUUCGCGAACACAUCCAAGAACUGGUAGACACGGCGAAGACUCGUGCCGUAUUAUCGUAAGAAAUAAAAAAAAUAAAAAAAAUAAAAAAAAAUGGACGGUGAAUAUAAAGAUACGACGUUCGGUGUCGUUAGCCAGCAUGACACGAGGGAAUGUAACAAUUUCUACGAGUAACAAGUAACAAGAGACAUUCCCCGGCCAUCACGUGCAAGAAACGAGCCUCAAUGCCCGGAUUAAAGUCGCAAACUUAUUCUCUUCUUUUUCAUUCGUCUUCUGUGAAAAUCACAACCGCAGUUCUAUUUUUACAUUGUUGUUAACGGGAAAAUGUUAAAUAAUCUGUCGUCUUUUUCAAACCACACACGCGUCGUGUUAUCGAAAGGUCUAUGCAUACACCGGACAGCGUGUUCGAGACAUGCGAGCAUGCAUCAGCUUACCCAACAACCACAAGCAAGCAAAACAAUAACGACAAAGCGAAAUUACCUUCUAGCAGAAUAUUUCAGAGAGUAGACACUCUGAUUAAGGACCCAGGUAGCAAUAGCGCGGACGAGUACCUACCAGGAAGCGUCCGGGAAUGGGAUCACGAAGACGACGCGUAGUGACUGACAGAAGCGGUCAUUGUCGGCCAGAAAAUCACCGGCUAAAUAGAUCUCCGUGACAGAUAACCGCGUGCACGCCAACCGCGCGUUUUCUCGCAUCGGGGGUUUCGUUUCGCGAUCAUUCCCGGCAGUGUUUCUCCAAGUCAUUUUGCUGCGACGCGGAAGAGUUAUCGAAAUAAAUUUUAUCGAACGAGAGUGUAUAAGUUUCAUCCCUAUAACUAACGGCGACAGACGAAAUAAACACGUGACAAACCUUGACAUUGCACGAGGACAGAUCUCACAUGUUUUAAUAAAAGUAACAUAUCUUCAAACAUCGAUGAGAGCAUUUCGUAAUUAAUCAUUCGCAGAAAGCACACACAAGCUACUGAAAGUGUACAACAUAUGUAUGAUAUUCGUUUAAGGCAAACGUCACAUUUGGUUUCACAUUGCGUAACAUCAUAUCCAUUUAUUGUUAUUAAUUUUAUCAAACGUACAUAAAUUUAAUGAAUUUUGUGUAAAUACAGAUGUAUAGAGAUGACACAAAAAUAUAAUCGAUCGUUCGUGCGGGGUGCGCGCGCGCGCGUGUGUGUAACUAACGUGCGUACGAGCAUCAGUCUAUCUCGUCUCGCCUACGCACUCAUCUUCGACCGGUCGCCAAGCGAGAGAUAAUGGAAAAAGGGCGAAUAUAAAAAAAAAAAAAAAUAAAUAAAUAAAG
Formica exsecta is the source of this 2082-nucleotide long non-coding RNA. RefSeq lists it as uncharacterized. The record is from RefSeq and is a predicted model, not a curated record. NCBI's taxonomy places the organism in Eukaryota, Metazoa, Arthropoda, Insecta, Hymenoptera, Formicidae. The transcript is spliced from 2 exons.